Molecule: ribosomal RNA, 255 nt
Filed under: uncultured bacterium
Lineage: Bacteria
Description: partial 16S ribosomal RNA
Rfam family: Bacterial small subunit ribosomal RNA
Source: RNAcentral
UGACCUACGGGACGCAGCAGUGGGGAAUAUUGCACAAUGGGGGAAACCCUGAUGCAGCGACGCCGCGUGAGUGAAGAAGUAUUUCGGUAUGUAAAGCUCUAUCAGCAGGGAAGAAAAUGACGGUACCUGACUAAGAAGCCCCGGCUAACUACGUGCCAGCAGCCGCGGUAAUACGUAGGGGGCAAGCGUUAUCCGGAUUUACUGGGUGUAAAGGGAGCGUAGACGGUAGAGCAAGUCUGAAGUGAAAGCCCGCGG